GGCAGAUUGCCCGAGCGGCCAAAGGGAGCGGAUUGUAAAUCCGUCGCGCAAGCUACAUAGGUUCGAAUCCUAUAUCUGCCA
RNAcentral lists this transfer RNA (81 nucleotides) under Gordonia sihwensis. Its description in RNAcentral is "tRNA-Tyr". It matches the Rfam family "tRNA". From Rfam's summary of the family: Transfer RNA (tRNA) molecules are approximately 80 nucleotides in length. Their secondary structure includes four short double-helical elements and three loops (D, anti-codon, and T loops). RNAcentral also lists the same sequence under 10 other names. Lineage: Bacteria; Bacillati; Actinomycetota; Actinomycetes; Mycobacteriales; Gordoniaceae. The record is from RNAcentral.